Molecule: ribosomal RNA, 484 nt
Filed under: uncultured bacterium
Lineage: Bacteria
Description: partial 16S ribosomal RNA
Rfam family: Bacterial small subunit ribosomal RNA
Source: RNAcentral
AUUGAACGCUGGCGGCAGGCCUAACACAUGCAAGUCGAGCGGAUGAAGGGAGCUUGCUCCUGGAUUCAGCGGCGGACGGGUGAGUAAUGCCUAGGAAUCUGCCUGGUAGUGGGGGAUAACGUCCGGAAACGGGCGCUAAUACCGCAUACGUCCUGAGGGAGAAAGUGGGGGAUCUUCGGACCUCACGCUAUCAGAUGAGCCUAGGUCGGAUUAGCUAGUUGGUGGGGUAAAGGCCUACCAAGGCGACGAUCCGUAACUGGUCUGAGAGGAUGAUCAGUCACACUGGAACUGAGACACGGUCCAGACUCCUACGGGAGGCAGCAGUGGGGAAUAUUGGACAACGGGCGAAAGCCUGAUCCAGCCAUGCCGCGUGUGUGAAGAAGGUCUUCAGAUUGUAAAGCACUUUAAGUUGGGAGGAAGGGCAGUAAGUUAAUACCUUGCUGUUUUGACGUUACCAACAGAAUAAGCACCGGCUAACUUCGUG